Long non-coding RNA from Silurus meridionalis, 2282 nucleotides. RefSeq lists it as uncharacterized. The record is from RefSeq and is a predicted model, not a curated record. Lineage: Eukaryota; Metazoa; Chordata; Actinopteri; Siluriformes; Siluridae. The transcript has 4 exons.
UCUCCCUUUUUCUCCCUUCUCCAUUUUAUUUUCUCUACUAUCAAUUCUAGUCCUGUCAGAGAAAUAAAACCAAAGAUUUUCUCUGUAUAUCUUCACUUCUCUCUCUCUCUCUCUCUCUUUCUCUCUCUCAAUCGCUCGCUCUGUUCCUCCAUGGAAAAUGCAGCUGUGCAGCCAUCUCAUAUAUAUAAAAUGAAGAAGAAAGACGAAGUGCAACUAGCAGCUUUCAUGUUGGAAAAUCUUCAAUCUUCAGUAAAAGAGAAAGAGACAUCUUCAAAUGUCCAAAGAAAGAGAUGCAUGUGAAUUAAUCGAGAGAGAGACGGAGGUGGGAAGCUGAUAACAGGAAAUACAGUGUGCUGGGUUUUACAGAGGCGCUGAUGGCUCCAGCAACAUUUCUGUCGCUUUUGUUCCUUAAACAGUUUUUAAAAAAUACAUAGCGUAUUGUAAUGUUGUGUUUUGACUUAUUAAGCGAACCAAGUACUUGUUGACCCUUUAGCUUGGUGAUAAAGGAAGACCAUCAGCACUUGUUUACAUUUAUCCAUAGUGGUUUACAACAGAGCAGUUGAGAGUUAAGGGCCUUGCUCAAUGACCCAGGAGUGGCAACUUGGUGGUGUUGAUAUUUGAACUUGUGACCUUCCAAUCCAUAGUUAAAUACCUAAACUCUGAGCCAAUGAUACAUCUGUAAGUUACAAUAUAUCUCCCUUUACAGAUUUAUAUAAUGGUAUACGUUUUAUCGUUUUUUUUUUUUUAAGAGAAAUGCUUGAAAUGUGUGUGUGUGUGUGUGUGUGUGUGUGUGUGUGUGUGUGUGUGUGAGUGUGUGUGUGUGUGUGUGUGUUUGUGUUGAGAUUGGAAUGACCAUGAACAGCUUGUCUGCCUAACUAAGCAUCAAUAUGAAUGCCAAAUCAAUAUCAAAAUCCAAACAUGUAUAAGAACAGCGUUAAUACCUUAACCACUUACCUACCACUUCCCAUGCUACCUACUCCCACCUUGUUCCCAAGGUAAUAUAGCAAAUUUAAUGUGAAAAUUUCAUUAAGGUUUAUUUGCAUAGUUCUUUAAACAAUGUUCUAAAUCGUUCUAAAGCAACUUUACAGAAAUAAACCGAUAAAUAUACAAUAUAUCCCAGACGUUUAUCCCCAAGUCCAUCUGUUCAGUGUUAAAUGUUAUGCUGAGAAAUGGCCUUACUGUCUUUUUUGCAACUUUGCACACACAUAUGUUUGCAUAAUAUGGGUGAACCACAUAUUAUGGCAAAAAUCUGAUAAUAUGUGUAUAUCUCAUGAUACAACAAAUCCAAAAUUUGUGACAAUUUAGAUAAUGCUGGUUUGGGAAGAUUCAAUUGACAGAAAAUUCCAAAUGGACUGUGAAGUCAGUAAAUGGACAUUAUACUAGUAUCCAUUAAAGUAGGCAUGACUAGGCAAAGUGUAUAAAAAUCUCUGUAUUGCAUUGUGGGGUGUAUUUUAUAUAUACAAAUACAUUUUAAUUUACACUUGUUAUUGCAGUUGAAGCAAACAUGCUCUGUAGUUGGGAAUCUAUUACUGUACCAGAUUUCUAUGUGCUACAACAGACUUUAAUGUCAAAAGGUUUUAAUUUGAAAACCAUAUGCAAUGUAAUAGAGUAUGAAUGCAUUUUCAUUUAAUAUUCAUUUCAUGACUGUAUCUAAGCACUAUCUACUAUAAAUAAUUAAGUCUGUAAACUUUAAUUCCCAGAUUGUGUAAAAAAAUUCUCCUACCCAAAUAAAAGUCAAGUAGAUAUGCAAAGCUUGUGCUUUCCCCUCUACAAUGUAGAGCUGUCAUACAGAAGAGUGAACAAGUGUCAACCCUGUGAUUGAUGCUGGAUCACUCUAGGGACAACCAAAGCCUCUUUAUAGUCUGUAUAUAUACUGCAUUUAUUGCCUUCCUGUCAUAGAAUAUAUAAGUCUGAGAAAUAUGUCAAGUGUGAAAUAAGGUUAUCGCUAACUUUGUGUCUUUGCUAACAUUGCUAACAGAAAUUGAAAAACACAAUGCUAGUUGAUAUUAUUUCUAGACAAAAAAGCCACCGCAUCUUUCUUUGACUGUUAAGUUCAACUGUUGAACAUUUUAGCUUUGGGCUAGAAAUCGGUAAUAUUGUCUUAUAUAAAUUUUAAAUACAAACACGUCCGCUUAAAAUCUAGAAGUAAGAAUGACAGGGAAAUGUAGUAGUGUAUAAUAAAAUGCUGCUGUAAACAUGAUGUUAAAUAGGUUUUUAAACGAUACAAUUAUUUUUUGUCAUAGUCUCCAUUUAUUAUAGUUUUGACAAAUAAAAUUUGCUUA